GUGCUCGCUUUGGCAGCACAUAUACUAAAAUUGGAAAGAUACAAAGAUUAGCAUGGCCCCUGCGUAAGGUAAACACUCAAAUUUAUUAACCAAUGGCACCCCGAUGCAUUUAAUU
Molecule: non-coding RNA, 115 nt
Organism: Myotis lucifugus (little brown bat)
Lineage: Eukaryota; Metazoa; Chordata; Mammalia; Chiroptera; Vespertilionidae
Source: Rfam